CCAGCUGCUGCGUCGCCGUGACCAGCCCCAGAGACACCGACAGUGUUAUCAUGCCAAUCGCCAUGCACACCGGCACAUAAUCGCCCUUCUGAACUGGUUUUGGAAACUGUAAUUUUGGCCUUGGUUGCUCUUGAAAAUGGGCGUAAUCGGCUGCGGUGGGCGCGUAGGAUUUACCUUUCGGAGUUGUUGAGGUUGCAUAAGUUGCAGUACUUCCUCUUAAGCCACCCAUUAGUGACCUUAAAUUACCCUGAAAAAAAAAAAAGUACACGAAAAAGAUUAUUUUUUCAAGUUCCAACUAUACAAGUCUCUUGGAUCUUGAUUGAAAGAUGAAAUAAGUAAAAUUACUUACGACUGAUCUGAAAGCCAUGACUGUAGUUUCUGUUUAGAGUGGGAGUUGUUCAAGGUUGAUGGGAAAAAAAGAGAUCCUUAUCUUGCUUUAUCUUUUCUUUGCAUUGCUUCAGUUGAUGUGCCAGCAUAUAUAUUUUAUAGAUAUAUAUUGGGUGAGACACAGAGGAGAGGGUUCUGGAGCCACGUAGUGAAAGCUGCGGAAGGGGAGUUACUGAGUGACACUUGUCAAGAGUGUAAAGUGCACACCUUGCUAUAGAACUCUCUUGAAGCAACACGUAUAAUCUGUCAACAAUUUUUCUGUUCUAUUUUAUUGGAAGAUUUUAAUUUUACAGACCAAUGAAAAUAAAUGGUUUGCCUCCGUUUGUCUUUGUAGAUGGCAAAUUGUUCGUUGACGUCUCAUCGGCCACUGGUUUAAUACGGUUUAAAUUUUUUUUUUAUUUGGACAGUAAUUGUUCACAUUAUGGAAGUGCUGACUAAUGAUCUAAAUUCUUUUAUUGUAAGAUACACAUAUUCAAUAUAAAGUUGGUAGGAUACAUAUAUUUACUUGGGUAUGGUAUUUAGAAAUUUCAUUUUAGUAUAUUAGUAGUUUUGUGAUAUGAAAUUUUAUAAUACGGGAAAAGUUAAAAAUUUUAAAAUCGUAAAAUUUAAAAGUUUUAUACGCUUUUUUUAAAUUUUUUCACACUUUAAAAUUUUGAAUUGAAAUAUUUUAAUUAAUAUAUUUUCAGAAUGUAUUAUAAAUUAUCUAAAGCUGACUUUCUAAUAAAUUCUACAUAGGAUCUAGUUAUAGUGCAGCUGUGGUAUGGUACCACAGUUGCACCAUAGCUAAGUCCCAUAAUAAUAUAUUUGUAGAGUGUAGAAACUUCAGGUUUCCAAAACACGGUGUUAUAAUAUAUUUAUAGAGGGUGACAAUUUCACUUUUGCCAUCUAAACACAUGUUACGUAUAAUAUUUUACGGUAAAGAUUUUGUCGCUUGUUAAACUAUCAAAACAAAAAACUGUAUUUGGUGUUAGGUUAGUUUCCCUUCAUGAUCUGAAUUUCAUGGGAUCUUCGAAAAACAAAAACGUAUCUUCACCCGUCAUACUAUCAAAACGAAAAUGUAUUUACUGCUAGGUUAGUUCCCUCUCAUGAUUGGAAUUUCUCGAGAACUUCUAAAAACAAAAACGUUCUGGCACUAGCGUAUGAUUGCAAUUUAACUAUCCUUUUAUUUUUAUUCAUUCACCAUUUAUGGUCUAAUUAUCACUCAUUAUUUACAUAGAGGUGACUAAUUUUAUUACUCUAGAGUUUAGGCAGACCGCUGAUCGGCAAACAAAUUCUUGGAAGGGCCUGUGCAUAGCAAUAGAAGCGCCAAUUGAAUUCCUUCAAUAAGACUAAAGCAUAUAUGCAGUAUGCCUGUAAGUUAAAUUUUUAAGGACAAGAAUUUCUGAUCUUAUUGCUAGAAUGAUUCAAGUUGAUGUGUACUAAUUCCAUCUAAGAUUAAAUAAAUCUCGUCAGAAUCUGGAUGCAAGCUAUCCCCAGAUACAAACUCAUGCAUAACCCCAUUCAAUUGAAUCAAGCUACAGCCAGCAUUCUUCUUGAUCUUCCCAGCGUCCAAAGAUCUUCGUAUCUUAACAACAUCUUCCCAUCUAUCCGCAUUGGCAUAAACAUCAGCCAGUACUUUAUAAACCCCACCAUCUUCAGGUUUCAACUUCAUCACAUGCUCUGCUGCUGCUUCCGCAAUCUCAACAUUGCCAUGAAUCCUACACCCUCCAAGCAAACCACUCCAAACAAACACAUCACCCCCCAUUGGCAUCUUCUUUAUCAUCUCCAAUGCUUCUUCAAUCAAACCAGCUCGCCCAAGCAAAUCCGCCAUGCACCCGUAAUGCUUUAGCUCUUUAGAAACCCCGUAAACAGAAUCCAUCUCAUCAAACAGCUUUCUCGCUUCAUCAACUAAACCUGCAUGGCUACAGCCCACCAAAGCUCCCAAAAUGGUGACGCCGUCGGGUUUAAUUCUAGCCUCUAUCAUUCUAGAGAAGUAAACGAGUGAUAGCCUGCCCAAGCCAUGCAUUGCAAGACCAACAAGCAUUGCAUUCCAUGUAAAUAAAUUCUUUUCUUGACUUGAUUCAAAAAUAUCUAUAGCAGUGUUAAUAUAACCACAUUUUGCAUAAAAAUCAACUAGCCCAGUUGACAAAAAUGAAUCAACUCGAAUUUGAUUAAGUUCAAUAUAACGAUGAAUAUUCUUCCCCUGUUCUAGUUCUCCCAAUCGGGCACAAGCUGAAAGAGCAGAAACUAAAGCAAUAUUAUCAGGUUUAAUAUCCAAAUCCAUCAUGUUGCAAAAGAGUUGAAUAGCCUCUUCGCAUUGAUCACUCUGUGCAUACCCUGCCACAAGGGUACCCCACGACACAGCAUCACGAAAUGGCAUUCUGUCAAACAACUGCCGCGCGUGUGCUAAAUCGCCGGCCUUCACAUAACCAUCGAUUAAUGUGUUACAAGAAACCACAUCUCUGUACAAAAUUUCAUCAAACAGUUCCUGUGCAUCUCGUAGACGAUGAAAAACACAGUACACGUGCAUGAGAGAAUUUAAAACGAACACAUCACAAAUAAACCCAAGUUUCAAAACUUGAGAGUGAAUGGUUUGGGCCAGUGAAUGGGAGCAGAGUUGAGAGCAAGCUCUAAGGAGAAAAGGGAAGGAAUAGAAGUCAGGAGGGAUUGAAACGGUGCGCAUUUGGGAGAACAAAACGACAGCGUUGAGGGGCGAGGAGAAGAGGGUGUGAGCACGAAUGAUGGUAUUAUAAGAAAAGGUUGAAGGGUAUGGAAUAUUAUUGAAAAUCGACAAUGCAUAGCUUAAUGGGUCUGUAGUGGGUGACGAUGCUGACGAUAUGGGUUUAAAAGUGGUGAUUGCGUAGAGGAUUGUUGUGAGAAUGUGACAAGGGCUGAGAAAGAGAAGGCCUUUGGUGAGGAAAUGGGCAUGGAUUUGGUGGAUUUGCUUGAUGGUUUUACAUCGUUUGAUUAAAUUAUUUAGUGUCAUCUUAUUUGUUGAAUCUGUCAGGAGCAGAGGAGGAAUAAAUAUUUGGCAACAUUGUUACCAAAUUGUUGAUGGAGCAUGGUCCGCAUGGACCUGGUGGAUGGCUUUCCAUUGUUCAGUGAAAUUAUUGAGUGUGUCAUUCUAUUUGACGAAGCGAAGCGAAAAAACUGAUUCAACUAAACAGUUUCAAAACGUGAACGGCAGGAUUCGAACCUGCGCGGGCGGCAGGAUUCGAACCUGCGCGGGCAGUUCAAAACGUGAACGGCAGGAUUCGAACCUGCGCGGGCAGAGCCCACAUGAUUUCUAGUCAUGCCCGAUAACCACUCCGGCACGUCCACUUGGGUGGCCUUACUUUUAAUGCUUUUAGGUUAUAAUUAUGAGCAAUGUGGGCACUCUCUAUUUAAUUGCCGAUAUACUACAAUCAGAAAUAUACUAGAAAUAACUUAGAUCAAUUCUAUGAUGUUGCGGUUUAGACUUUAUUCUCAUAUUGAGAUGCUUCUAUCCCUAUUAAUAUUAGAAAGAUAUAUCUACUCAAAUAAAUUUAGCAUUCGUAUUGAGAUACAUGUAUACUGUGCUACACAUCACAAAUUUUUACCAUUAAAAUUUAAUUACAAAUAAUAUAGCAUUCAUUUAUUGAUUUAUGAGAUAAUAUAAUUAAUUCAAAUAAAAUUAAUUAAAAAUUGUCAACCACAUAAUAAGAGACCCAUCCCAUGCCACAUCACUUGAGGUAAAUUUUAAAAUAAAAUUGUGCAAUGUCUGUUAUUACUUAAAAAUAUGAAUAGUGCUACGAAUUCCUAGUUGUUUCAUCUAUAAUUAAGAGAAGAAAUUGGAGUCUCAACACAAUGGUUGGGACUCAAGCCUUUGCUCUCAAAGUUGAGGCGCAAGGUCGCCAUUAAAUUAUGAGCCCAGUGGCAAGUGAAAUCAUUUUUUUUUUAAUAUUUACCACUUACGAAUAUGUUAUACUCUGAAUUUUACUGAGAAUCUAGAUACAUAUAUUUGCAGUACACUCCAAAAUUUACAUGAGAACUAACUUAGAAAUUUAUUCCAAUAAAUAUUUAGGGAGAUACCUAUUCUAUAUCCAAACCUUUUGGACAAGAGAAAUCGAGCCCCUAUUAAGAGCCUCAUGCCCUCAAGGGAUGUGGAGAGGAGGUGGGUUCACCACUGGGCAACGAAGCCUAGUAGUGAAAUCCAACUUGAAUCUUGUUCAUGACAGAAGAUAAAUUGUCAUAAUAUGGUUUAAGAAUUACAAAAAGAUUAUGAAAUAACAAGUUGCAAACACGACAAGAGAAGCAUGUUAUGAACAUUUGAUGAAGUUAAUAACCGUACGUUGUACAUAAUACAUACACAAGAGUUCCAAUUAGAGCAUGAUGUUUUAUUUUUUAGCUGUAUCUUGUCAAAAGGCAGACUUUACACGCAUGCCCUAGAAAAAGAAAAUUAAAAAGUAAUAUACUACAUCCGCCUUGGCCGUACAGCAGAUAUAUAUAUAUAUAUAUAUAUAUAGAAGAGAGAGGGGAAGAGAUGGAGAAUUAAAAAAUGCAAUAUGAAACAUAACUAGAAAUAUAAGCAAGACAGGAUUUCGAAAUCACCCAAAACUUUUUUUUUUCCAUUUAUUUUGUUAAACUUUAUGGGGAAUUUUGAGAUGUUGCACAUUAACAUAUAUCUCGUACAACUUCAUUUGAAUGUGUCAUCACCGAUCACUCAAUCAUCAUUUGCAUCGAAUUCAAUUUUAUGUGCGAAAAUGAAAAGAUCUUUGAGUGGUCAAAAAACACAUCCGUCCGUGUUACUAAUUUCUUAAGAAAUUAUAUGUUAUUUCUGGAUUAUUAAUUUUAUUUUUAAGUAUUUCAGUAUUAUUAUAGUUUUUUAACUAUUUUACAAAUAAAAAAAAUUAUAAGUAUGAGUCAGUUGAAAUUUAAUGGAAAAGUUUUACGAAAUAGUCAAAGUUCGAGAGCUAUUUUAAAUUUGACUAUAAAACAACGUUGCAAUUGCUGCAACUUUCCAUAACUUUUGUCUUUUUGUGGCUUAACUAUAUGGCAGUCCCUGAUAUUUUUAUAAAAUUAAAAAAGAACUAAAGGUUUAAAAUUUUUAUAUAUAAGUCAUACUUAGGAUAAAAUGACUUUUGAAAAUAAUCUUUUGAGUGCAGUUAACACUUGACUCUUGAGUGAUGAUGGUCGAGAAAGAUGGAGAAGAGACAAAAAUGAACCAUUGAACACCUAAUUAAUUACUACAAAAGAUAGGGCCUUUAGCGACACCAAUUAUUGUUACAAAAAGCUAGUUGCGACGAUUACAUGAUAGUGAAACACAAAAUCACUAUUGUACAGAAUCUUUUACGAUGGUUUAUUAACGUUUAAAAAAAAGCCACCUUCAUUUAAAAGAGUACUUGGAAACUAAUAAAUUUACUAUCCAAUCACUUUUAAUCAAUAAUAAAAUAUUAUCAUAAAGAUUCACAAACCUAAAAUUUUUAAAAUAAAACAACAUGGAUAGUUGUCAAGAAACACAAAGCUCAAAGCUUUUGAAUUAUUCAAAAAGAAAGAAAGAAAAUUUAAACUAGCUUCCUUUUUAUUAUCAUUUUCUUAAUCUUUCUAUAUAAUUGUAUUACACCACAUAAAAAAUUUAAAAUUGUUCUUUUAGAUUUUAAUGGCAAUUUUAUAGAUAAACUAAUAAGUUGUUUGUACGAAUAAACUAACAUGUUAGCUAAUACUAGAAGGGAAAAUGUGAUAGUAAAUUGGUAAAAUACUAAAGUGUUAUAGCCUAAUAUGCUUUUUAUUUCUACACUUUUUUAUUUCACAAUUUCAUGAAACAUUGAAAUAUUAAUAACUUAUAUUUUUAAAACAUAGUCAAUUUAUUUAGUCUUAUAUUAAAUUUAUAUUAUAUAUAAAAAAUCAUUUAUGUAAGAUUAAAUUGUUGUUUUUGUACCACGUUCAUUUUUAUGAUCAAAGUAGGUCAAUGAAUCAAAAUUAAAAAUUUUAAAACAACAUGACUUACAAAUGUAAAUAACAUGGAUUGCAAUAUUAAUAACCAAUUAAGCAAACCUCUAACUGUUGAAUCUAUUGGCUAAAUUAGAAAAGGAUAAAGUUGCAGUACCUUGCAAUUUUUUCAAGGUACCUAGAUCCUUAAUUUUAACUUACUUAUCAUUUUUUUUUUUUUUACAAAAGUACCUUUAAAUCAGAUUGUUCAAAAUUUUUUAAUAUAACAUCCCAGUUGUCGCUGAGUUCUGUCCAAAGAUGUGGCAAUCUGCAUGACGACGCUAAGUCCCCAUUUAGCCACCCACUGAACAACACCAACAAAAGCAAUCUACAAGGGCCAUAAUGAAGGUUAUUGCAAGAGACAGACCAAAUCAACAAUAAGGAAUAUAGAAUAAAGUAACUAACACAAUGCAUAGCUAUUCACAUAGGAAUCGACCCCUAACUUUUCUAUUCGCUGAAUAAAAAAAUAUGCAAAAUAACUCUAGGCUUUGUGUGCUCAAGGACUUCACUCUCUCUAGCAAAAUGUGGAUCCCUAAAACACACAAUCAACCUCACUAUAUAUACAUGUUAUAAAUAACACCCCUAUUUGCUAAGGCAAGGUGGCAUGCUGCCCUUGCACCACCUCAUUUCUUUUUCUCAAGAGUAGGUACCACUAAGCAUGAUUUUAAGAAGCACACCUCUAGUGCCCCAAGGAUGAGACAACCGCUGCCCAUUAACGUAGAAACAAGGAAGUGAAGAGUAAUGAUGCUACCCACUUUCCUUGUCUCCACAUUUCUAAGCAUGAACUCCAAGGCCAUGUUUUUCAUUAGUUACACCAACAACUACCGACUCAUACUUCUUUCUAGGAACCAUUUACGGAGAAUUUUCAUCUAACAUGCUCCACAUUCAAACACCACUGCCCCAACACAACUCGAGUGUAAUUCGAACUCCUCUCAUAUUCGCAUAGUCUCUAAGUGUUGAAUGUUGCCCUUGCACACUUUUGCACCUGCUACUCUCUAGCGCAUGCGCUGCCCAUACAUACCUUGGCACUAUUGCCUUGUGCCAUCUCGCAUUUUGCCUAACUCGGCCGGUGUAAGCGCCCUACACUUGUGUGCUUGCAAGAUAUGGUGUGCGUGUCCCUAUGUGCGUUAUCUCACUCUCCUCUGCGUUCCAACAAUGUGCACUUGCUGUCACGGCCCUGCCUGUGUGUCAGACUUGCCUUGCUCACAAGCACGCUCAUGUUACUAUUACGGCUUGACACAUGGUAACAAGCCAAGAUUUAGCAUCGACCAUCGUAGUCUACGGCAGUGACACUAGCCACCCACCACCCGUGAUGGGCUUGUCUAGCAGUCUAGCACACUAGUCAAGGCCGUUAUUACACUUGACAGGUUCUUAGGGCACGCAAUAAGACAGUUUAGGUGCGAGCUUGAUAUUUUAUUAGAGAAAUUCUAGAAUAUCUCUGAUGUACUACAAUCAAUUAAUGCAUGCAUGACAUGUAUAAUUGAAUUUAAUAUAACCACUACUUGUAUGAUGAGUUUUCAAAAUAAAUGCACACAUGUUAUAACAUCAUUUAUUUGUUAUAUGGUUAACAUGGUACCUCUGAAGUAUUCUAGAAUUUAUCAUUUUAUUGAGCACCUCAUGCUUGUUAUUACUUGAUAUGCAUUGGGCGUUCAAAGUACAAAAAGUUAAAUUUAUUAAUUUUUCCCAAAAUCUUGGCCAUUUUCAUAAAGUUUCCAAUUUCAUGGUUCCUUUCACUAAGGGCCCUUCUCAGUUAUCACCUUCGGAAAAAAAAGAAGAGAAAAACAAACACAUACUCAUUUCCUCACUUCUUGCAAAUCAUCAUCAAACUCUGAACUGAACCAAUAAUUUGCUUCUAUUUGCAGCGACUAUUUAAAAAAAAAGAAGACAAACUUCAUUUGUGUCUUCAAUAAUUGAGCAGUCUUUCCACAUAUAGCUAAUUUAACCUCUCCACUCACAUAGGAUUAGUGCCAAUUGACUCAGAUUCUCGCAAACAAAUUUUCAAAGGGGCAAAGCAAGAAGAAGAAAAAUUGGACGGUGCAAAGUUUUUUGUACCAACUAAAAGUAAGUACAUAUUUCUUUAUCCAUAUUCGCCCUUUAGACUGCCUAUUUAGUAUAAACUGCUUUAACCACCCUUUCCGUAUUAAUUUAUUAUCUCAUUCUCUUCUUUUGGCACAGGAACCCUCCACCUGUUACUUGAUGUUUCGAUUAUAAUGUCAAUUCCAUUGUCAUUCUACUUUUAACUUUAAUUUUGUUUCUUUUUCCCCAAAUGGAAUAACUAGGCCCGCUUAGUGGUUAAGAGUAGUGCAAAUUUAUGUAAAGCAAAGGAAUACUAAUAUUCUUAUUUAGAGAUAAGCAUUGCAUUUACCCAACGAGAAAGAAUAAUGCUAACGGGGACCAUUUUGAAAAUGCGACACAUAACUGCUGAUCUGUGCUCUGUCAUUUUUUUUUUAAAUUCCUAUAGUCUUCUUUUCAAUAAAGUGAAAGAACCAUUUGAUUAGCCCCUGCAAGCUCUCUUACGUUUGCAAAGGUCAAUAUAUAUACCACACGGCAUUAUUGGAGAAAAUUUAACCAUAACAAUGCAGCAGCAGCUGGUGCUGCUUAUGGUUCCUUCUAUCUGAACUUCCACGCUUUGUGUGUGACACAACACAGAAAAUGUGGAAGAAGAAGAAGAAGAAGAAGUUUAUAAAGACAGCGAGCUAGCGAAGAUGAUGAUAAGAAUGUCAUACGCUGAAUACAAGGUAAUCUUCUUCCUCCCCGUAGGUAAGAGGAUGAACAGGCAAGUCAUAUAGAGGCAAAGGGAAGGCAACGCCUUUCUUCCGGGUUUGUUAUGUUUUUAUGUUGUUUACCAUUUUCGCACCAUUAUCUCUGUAAUAGCAGAUUCAGGUACCCUAAAGAAUGUAAUGCUACAACAUCCUUAGCCAUUUACAUAAAAUAUACAGGAGUACUUGUCAAAAAAUGGGGCUGCUUAAUGUAAUCGUAUGCAUCCAUAUGCUGCUUAAUUUGCUUCUCUUAUUUUCUCUGUGUUGGUGCCAAUUUCUGUCCACACGGCAAAGAAAUGAAACCAUGAUUGACAUGUGACCCCCCUUGCUCUGUUGAAAGCUUUCUUGCGUUUGUGUUCGUAUCCUUUUUGUAAGGCAAUAUCUGAGUUAACAAAAGAAUAAACUGGGUUUAGUUUAAUUGCUAACAUAGUAAGUAACAAAUAUAUACAUACAAUCGAUGUGCUUCAGACCUUUGCGUGCACUCCAUCGAAAGAUUGUUCCAGUAAUGGCAUUAACGAAUCAAAAAGGAGAAUAAGAAAUGAUAACCACACACGCACAAGCACAGGGCUUGGGCGCACCUGUCAAAACAAUACAACUGAAUUGCCGAUAGCACCAGUUAAGAGGAGCACUGAUAUUUGAACAGCAGGUCGACAGCAAGACAAAGGAAAGCGUGUUGAUGUUCACACAGUUUAUGCACAGUGUUGUCGUUCCCAAUUUUCUAUCGUCUUGAUGUCAUAUAGUGUUCAAAUAUUAUUUUUCAACAGUCCUGAGUCAAAAGAAUGUUCAGUUAACUCCUCCAUACAUGAUUCCAUAACCAGAAUAUUAACACAACAAUAACCCAAGACACGCACCGGCAUGAUUAAUUCAGCGCAUUCACCUAAUAAAAGCAUGCAAUGUCUAUAUACGACUGCUGAAUCAAAUAUAUAAACCACUGGUUUCGAACCAUUCUCAGACGAUAAUUCAUUCCUCUGAACUGAACCUGCAAAGAUCCAAGGACAGCAGACACAUACAAACAAUGAUAACAAAACCCAAACGCAAUGGCUUAGGCACCAACAGCAAAGAGAUUUUCAGGUUAAAUGAAAAACAUUUUUUUAUCAACGUACGGAUUUCAACUCUAACAAACUCUAACAAAUCAACGUACUGUAGGCCAAGUACAAUCUUGCAAUACUAGAAUUAAAAUAAAACAAAUACAUACAGCUUGCACAUCAAAUUAUUAAUAUCAUGAAAUUAUAUCUUUACAUUGAUAAAUGUGAGGGUGUACAACAAAAUAAAUCUGCAGUUGUUCACUCUCGAGAUUAGUGUAAGCAAGAAAAAGCAGGGAUGAAAAUGGAACACUCACUAUCAUUUAGUGAUCAGAUAUCGCGAUAUCACAUAAUCAUUCUUUGCUCAACAUUUAAUUUUAAUAAGCCUGGGGAAAAAUUCUUGACUACAAAAAUCAUGUAUCCCAUCCACAUGGGAAACUAUAAUCUAUCAUAUCACUAAUUAACCAAAUGAUUACUUUUUUACUACUGUUAUUAUUAUUUUUCGUCAUCAACUCCACUCCGCCUCCAACUAUGAAAUCAGCUUAGUGCAUUUUUGCAUUACGGAGGCACUAACCAUCAAAUAUUUAGAGACUUUUCAUAGUUUCAGAAACCAAUCAGCUUAGUGCAUUUUGGCAUAACCAAAGCACUUCCCUAUCAAAGAUCCAGAGUUUUUUUCAUAGUUUCAUAAACCAUGUAUGUAAUACUUGCAGCAGGUACAACCUUGAGAAGGUUUGGAAAAAUUCCUUUGUAGAAACCCCUAUAACCUUCAUUCUGAAGAGUCCUCCAAAAUACAUCAGACAUUCCCUUAUAUGAAGCAGCAGAUUUUGAACGUUGGGCUUGCAUUCUGGAAAGAAAAACAGUGUUAUGCAUGAGAAGAAGCGCAGUAAAUCUACAAUAUGACCAGAUCAGAUGGACGAAAAAUUCCAAGCAUCUAUAACAAAGAAUUUUCACCAUGGACAAAUGAAAACUUAUUUCAUUUGUAACCUCAUACCUGGUUCUAAUAACCUGUAAUGGAUAAACACACGUUGCUCCGAGAGCUCCUGAAAUUGUCCCACAUCCAAGUUGCACAAGAGGACCAGGUUCUACAGAAAAGGUGAAGUUUUCAGAAAGAAAUUCCCCAAUAAGAGCAUACAUAAAUAUCUGAAUAUAUAAACAAAAAAUGAAACAAGAACAAAACGUUGAAAAACAGAUAGACAGAUGAUUGUACCACUGUCAGUAAGAAUGUACGUCCUUGACAGAUCUUUUAAAGUUUCAUACGCUGCAAGGUCAAUGCCAGCAUACGGGAUAAUCCCAAGAAGAGAUGGCACAAGACCUUUAUAGAAUGCCCGAGGACCUUCAUGAACCAAUAUAUCCUUAGUAAGCGUACCUAAGUUUGGAGCCUUUCCACCUUCACAAGCAUGAGUCUGUAACCGUGUUUUCACAAGAUCCAAUGGAUAGAUAGCAGUCUGUGCGACCGCACCUGCCAUACCACCAGCCAAAAGUCUCCCAAAAGCACCUAUAUCAUCCUUUUCUUCCCCUAUAUAAUCUCCAAUUGCAUUCUUCAAAAGUUCAUAAGCAUGAAAUUUUAUGGCACUUUCAGGUGCAACCUUCAGAACAUUUAACCCAUUACCUCGGAAAAAUCCCAAAAAACCUUCUUCCUUCCAUAUCUUUCUUAUAGUUGGCACAAGACGAGCUUGUGCCGUCUGGACUUGCAAUACAACCUUCAGGCGGUCAAGAGGAGCAGUUGCAGUACGAGAAGCAGCACCUGCUAUUCCUCCAGCAAUAAAGUAUUUGCUUCUCUGAACAUGUUUACUGAUGCCUUCUGGAAUAACAGCCUGUUCUCCAAUAUCUACGAGGCAUACCCUCUCCCAAUGAUGAUAAAUAUUUUCAAUAGUUGCCUCAUGAGGAUAGAGUAGAAGGAAAUCUCUCCAUUCUUCAAAAGUUAUGAUUCCAUUAUUAUCCUUAUCAACAUGCUCCACAAAACGAGCCAAUUCCUCGUCACUAAUCUCGAUCCCUGAAAAACAGAAACUGCCAGGGCUUAUAAGAUUGAAAACCUAACAAAGUUCAAAAAAAUAUGCUAGGAAGGGCUUCCACUAAUUCAAUAUGAAGAAAUAUUACCAAAUAAUGUACAACAGGCAUGAUCAAAGGACAAGGAAGAGGGAUAUGGAAACAGGAAGGGUUGAUUUCAUUUUAUCCCCAAUUACCAUUAAGACGACAAAAUUUUUUUCAUCAACACGCCCCUAUUUGCCCUCAUCUUUUGAAUGGUAAAUGGGAGUAAGUUGAGGUUUACAAAGUUUAUGGGUAUUUGAGGAUAACCUUUAUAAUUAUUAUUAUGAAUUUUUCUCGUGAUUUAGUCAUCCCUUGUCAUCCUUUGUGUUUGUUCUUGUAUUUGCAAAUUUUAGUGCAAUCUCAAAGUUUGAUUUAUACAGGGCUCUCGGAGUUGUGGUUCAUUUUACAUCACAGUAGUUGAUUCCAUACAGUAUGUAUGCCAAGGAGUUUAAUAGCUUUGUCUUAAAUGAUUUCUUCACAGUAAGAGAUGUGGAAGCAGCUACUAGCUAGUAAUGUGGUGGAUACCAUAGUUUUAUCUCUAGGCUGCAAAUUCAUAAACUGUUACAACAUUUUUAAAAGUGCUCUAAACCGUUGAGCUCAAUCCUCAUAAUGGAUAUAAAUUUCUAACCAGUAAUCCUAUAACAAUAAGAGUAAAAUUAGGAUUCAUGCAGCAAAAUGAGAUAAGAAAGCAAAAAGGAAAUGGGUACAGUUACACAUCUCAGGACAAACAAUUGGCAAGAUAACAGACAAACAAACUGGAUGAAGGAAACUUUCAAAGUGACAAAUCACAAGAACCGUUGAGCUCAAUCCUCAUAAUGGAUAUAAAUUUCUAACCAGUAAUCCUAUAACAAUAAGAGUAAAAUUAGGAUUCAUGCAGCAAAAUGAGAUAAGAAAGCAAAAAGGAAAUGGGUACAGUUACACAUCUCAGGACAAACAAUUGGCAAGAUAACAGACAAACAAACUGGAUGACGGAAACUUUCAAAGUGAAAAAUCACAACAAGCUUCCCAACCUUAAAUCUUCACAGAAAACAAUGUGUUUCUUCCUCGCAAGGAAGAAACCCUCACAUUCCAUGACCAAUUACAGCAGACAUAUCCAUCUUAUAAGCAGACACUACAGCCAAACCCCACCAACAUCCUCCCUUCAACCUCCCCCACAUACACCAACUAACACCAAAACACAACUUAUUACGGAAAUCUAAAUCAAGGGCACUACAAAAUUUCACACACCGUCGUGCAAAACAAAAGGGACUUCCAACUGAACUAAAGCUAUUUUUCCUGCAAUUAUGACCUAGCAAAAAUGAGAGGAACUAGGCAACCACAUUUAAAAUCUUUACUAACUGAUGUGACCUGAAUAAUCGAAAUAAACUGGCUUUUGGAUAAUGCUAUCUCUCUCUACUCAUCCUCAAACAUAAAGGAACAAAUUUCAAACUUAAAUCUCUCUCUAUCACUAUGAACAGUUGCAAUUUCACCCGUUCGAAAAGAAAAUCAUCCUUGUCCAGUAACAGACAAAUAAAUAAUUCACAAUAGUCAAUGACAAGCAAUACAAGCUCAAAAGUAAACAAUAAAGGAAAAACAAACAGUACAUGUACAAUUAAGCAUAAAGAGCAUGUUGUACCAGCCUUAACAAGCGCGUCCCAAAGCUCUUCGGGCAAAAUGCAUCCAUUGUGCUCGACAUCAAUAGUUUGAAAAAUCUUAUAAAGCUCCAUCUCUUUAAUGUCCAUGUAUCGACGAAACUCCUGAUAAUCGACGCGUCCGUCUCUGUUUGCGUCGCAGACUUUGAACAAAUCCUUCGCGUACUUGUACUGUGCCGGAAUCUGCAGCGCCGACAACCCGCUCUCGAUCUGCGCGUAAUCCAAGUAUCCGGAAUUCGCCGCAUCGAAGAAAUUGAAGAGGCUCCGGAUUCGGAUGUCCCUCUCUUCCUUGCUCUCGCGUAACGCGAGCAGCACGUGGUCCAUCGUGACCGGACCCGAUUUCCUCACCGGGUUGCAUGAAGCGGAGCGGGUCGACUCCAUCUUUGGCAAUCCGACGCGUUCCACCGCGUGUCCUGCCCCUGCUCCGGUCAUCUGCCCCUAGAUUUUAAUCAAAAUUACGAGAUUCGAUUGUUGCUCCACAAGCAUCGAUUCAAUCUGGAACUUGUAUGUAUAAUCUGAUAAAGGAAAUUGAAAAAUCGUUUCCUUUUCCGAUGAUGAGUCAAACGAAAGAGUCAAAAUUCUCAAUUGAGACAGCUGAUUGGUGAACUUAUGAGGCGAUUUCUAAAAGGAGCACAAAAUAGUGAAUUUUCAAAAAUAAUAAUUUUUUAUUUUAUUUUUAUGUUCGCGGAAUGUACCAUCGCGCUAACCAAGAUUCGCCAGCUUUUGCACAUUAUUUAUUUGAUGCUAAACGGCUUAAACCGGUUUGCUUUUGACAAAAUAGAAAAGGCCCUAUGAUUUUGGUGAAAUUACCGAACAGGGAAUUGGCACGUGCAGAUCGUGGGGGUUUGAUCGAUUUUUUCGGCGAAUGGGACUGGGGAGAUAACGAGAUAACGCGAUCCCGAUUCACACUACACAAAGCACCUACCGUCCUUUAAAAAUAAAUAAAUAAAUUCUUUCGGUGUUCGUUGACGCUUCUUUUUGGUUCAAAAUAUAAAAAUAACUUAUUAUUAAAUAGCACACUAGCAGAUUAAAAACAUGAAAUAAAUUUUUUUUUAAAAAAAGUAACAUAUGUGGUUCCUCUAAGGCGAAGAUACUCAAACUUGGCAGCUGCCACAGGAAAUAGCGACCCAAUAAUGCUUUGAAUUUUCUCAACUUAGGACAGGUCCCUUACAAAUGUCAACAUAGUGUUGAACACAACCAGCUACAGGAGUCGUAGAGAAAAUGAAAGAAAUGGACAUAAAAGUCCAACAAAGGAUCACAUAAAUCACACAGUUCCAAUUACUAACAACAGUAAUGGCAUUAAUAUUGGGCUAGACCAUAACCCACAUUGGUCCACAGCAGACUGUGAGUCGCCCGGGUUUAUUCACACUCGUCUAGCAAAGGGAAACGAGAGUUUCAAUAACAUAUGGUACAGAGGUAACAUUAUUUCUGUCUAAUACACAUGGCUAAGCCUCAUAAGAACAAGUUCAGAUCAUAAUUGGUUGGUAUCCAUCUUCGUACUUAUUCCUACGCCUGUAACCCACAGCGGCAGCAAUGACAGCAACUCCGGCUAAAACAAAUGCUCCCCAAACAAAAGCAGAAUGGUUUAUAUCACUGUCCAUCUGCAAAAACCAGGCAGUUAUCACUUAUCAGAUGCUUGGUGUUUCUUGUUAAAAUCACGAAGAGGAUUAUAGUUCUAUUAUCGCCUAAGAAUCAUAUUAAACAGUUUCUACUCCCGCAAAUAAUAAUCUUCUCAUCAACACUAAUCAAACGACUGUCUAUAAUCCAUUCUCUAUACCAUUUCGAUAAUCUAAGAGGCAAGACAAUAUUCCUACUCAAUUCUAGAAUAAGUUUUUUGUAUCUGCCGUAUUUUUGCAUGUGCUCACAAGCAUAAUAACUUGUAUUGCUGAACUCACUAUCUAAAAAUAUGAAAAGGGAAUCUUACCUUGUUGAAAACAUCUAAGAAUGAACUGGACUCGGGCACCCUGUCUGCAACCAAAAUGUAGAAAAGCCCCAUGACUCCUGUGUGUUCGCGGGAGCUACUAUAGCUAGAUUCCACAAUCAGAGUUUCCCCAUCUGUUAUCCUGAGGGAGCCUGGUUUAGGAUAACAGGUCGACAUUCCUACAAUAUAUCCAGCCUCGUUUCCAGCUUCCAUCCCAUUUCCAUAAGCUGGAAUUGAAGAGCACAUAAGUUGUCCAUCCUGAUUUCACCAAAAACAAGCAUAUCAAUGAAAGAAGACAUUAGGGAAUCAAAUUCCUUCCACAAUCAUCACAGUGGGUUCUGAACAAAUUACAUAAAAUGAGUAAUGAAGAAUUGUUCUUCAAAACAAAAAGGGAAAACAUCCAACCAAGUUGAGGGACCAUUACACUAUAUAUGAAACAUCAAUGUUAUUGAAACUUUGAGGAUGACAAACAAAUCAAGCAGCUGGAAGCUCAAAAAUAGUCUAUUUGGAAAUAUGAUAAUGUCACACUCACGUGUCCUCAACAUCUAAUUAAUGUUAUAAACAUUUACAUAAUCUUAAAACAUUCUUUAUGUGCAAAAAAUAGUAACUUCUGUCAUAGCUGACAAUUCUUUUGCAGACUAAAGAAACAUUAACUUUCAAAGCAUAAUCUAACAAGAAAAUUAAAAAGAUCAAGAACUAGUACACGUCUUCAUACAUCACCAGUUUACCACCAACCUGGCAGAUAAGAAUGAUAAAAUUACAAUGGAAAGUAGAACAUAGACAAAAGAAAAGGCAUGCCACGUGAAUGCAAAUUAGAUAUUGAAAUCACCUCUCUGUAUAGAGCUGCACCAAUGCCCCCUGAGUGCUGAUGGGCAACGCCAUAGAUGAUGUAACCACUGGUUGGCAUCGUGACACUGGUCCUUUUGGUGUGGACACACCCAUUAUCAGCUACAUCAUUGGCUUUACAGGGAUCAACAGAAUAUUCAGUCUGCAAUCAGAGAUAUUCCGAUGGGUCCACAUUUGUGAAGAAAUUAAGUCACUAAGAGUUGCAAGAAAAUCACAAAUCAAAACGUUUACACUAUUGAUUAUCAAAUUUAAGGGCUGAAGUAAGUGUUUGUGCUUAUGUGCUCUUGAAUGUCUAUAAAUUUGUGCACAUUUAAUACAAAAUCCUCCACAUUAAACAAAAAAUAUCUUCAACGCAAGUCAUUUCAUACACACAUAUUAAACAGUAUGCCGUCAAAGAGGACUCUAAGCCCAAAGAAAGUUUUCCAGAAAAUUACGAUUAGCUUUAUGCAGAUUCCAACUUUGUGUUCGUUGCAUCAAUGAACCAAUUCCAUUUUUCCAGUAAUGCACCAAAACAAGCAUUAAAUGAUUAUAUAACAACCUAGUUCAGUGAACCAUAAAAGAUGAAGAAAGUAAGGCCAAGGCUAUUCUACGGAACGUCCCAAAUCAAAUUCAUUUCUGUUUCAGCUUGGAGAGUUUUGUAAAAAGAAUUUCACUUACCUGGCAAUGAUGCUGUAUGCUGAAUCCAGUGGAAUCACUAAACCAUGUUUCAUUGUCAGUGACAUCAAAUAUGUAGAUUUUAACAGGCACAAUGGAAGUGUCCCAAUCAACCCACUUUACGGUAUAUCUCAAAUAGAGGCUCCUCCUGGCACCUUCAAAACCAUUUUUCACUCUACACUGAGUACCAUCGUAACAACACGCAAAACCACCUCUGUAAUUUGGCCUUAGCGGCUGGCCAUACUCAUCCACUGUAACAUUGUACAAAUCGCACUUGCAUUCGGUGCAUCCCAACCUAUCUUCGACACCUCGUGUAUCAAUUGCAUGGACAUUAAGAAACCAUCUCUCUUCAUAGCCUGCAGGAAUUGUAGCAGGAUUGCCAAUUUCUAUACCAUAAGGAUCUGGAAUAUGCGUUGCUGUUCCUCGUGUCUCAGAGCCAAGGCCAAAAAACUGCCCGAGACAAUUCCUCUGGCAUAUGCCAUCAUUUC
RNAcentral lists this long non-coding RNA (17661 nucleotides) under Citrus sinensis (sweet orange). Its description in RNAcentral is "long non-coding RNA (CSIN_LNC003042)". Lineage: Eukaryota; Viridiplantae; Streptophyta; Magnoliopsida; Sapindales; Rutaceae. The record is from RNAcentral.